Molecule: ribosomal RNA, 372 nt
Filed under: uncultured organism
Description: bacterial SSU rRNA
Rfam family: Bacterial small subunit ribosomal RNA
Source: RNAcentral
CAGAGGGUGCAAGCGUUGUUCGGAAUUAUUGGGCGUAAAGCGCGUGUAGGCGGCUUGGCAAGUCAGAUGUGAAAGCCCUCGGCUUAACCGAGGAAGUGCGUCUGAAACUGCUGAGCUUGAGUCUCGGAGAGGAUGGCGGAAUUCCGCAAGUAGAGGUGAAAUUCGUAGAUAUGCGGAGGAACACCGGUGGCGAAGGCGGCCAUCUGGACGAGUACUGACGCUGAGACGCGAAAGCGUGGGGAGCAAACAGGAUUAGAUACCCUGGUAGUCCACGCUGUAAACGAUGAGAACUAGGUGUCGUGGGUGUUGACCCUCGCGGUGCCGUAGCUAACGCAUUAAGUUCUCCGCCUGGGAAGUACGGCCGCAAGGCUA